UGAGAAACUAAGUGGAGCAGCAU
This 23-nucleotide small nuclear RNA is filed under the name Arabidopsis thaliana (thale cress). RNAcentral describes it as "snRNA_10620". Lineage: Eukaryota; Viridiplantae; Streptophyta; Magnoliopsida; Brassicales; Brassicaceae. The record is from RNAcentral.